AGCGAACGCUGGCGGCAGGCUUAACACAUGCAAGUCGAGCGGGCGUAGCAAUACGUCAGCGGCAGACGGGUGAGUAACGCGUGGGAACGUACCUUUUGGUUCGGAACAACUGAGGGAAACUUCAGCUAAUACCGGAUAAGCCCUUACGGGGAAAGAUUUAUCGCCGAAAGAUCGGCCCGCGUCUGAUUAGCUAGUUGGUGAGGUAACGGCUCACCAAGGCGACGAUCAGUAGCUGGUCUGAGAGGAUGAUCAGCCACAUUGGGACUGAGACACGGCCCAAACUCCUACGGGAGGCAGCAGUGGGGAAUAUCGGACAAUGGGCGCAAGCCUGAUCCAGCCAUGCCGCGUGAGUGAUGAAGGCCCUAGGGUUGUAAAGCUCUUUUGUGCGGGAAGAUAAUGACGGUACCGCAAGAAUAAGCCCCGGCUAACUUCGUGCCAGCAGCCGCGGUAAUACGAAGGGGGCUAGCGUUGCUCGGAAUCACUGGGCGUAAAGGGUGCGUAGGCGGGUCUUUAAGUCAGGGGUGAAAUCCUGGAGCUCAACUCCAGAACUGCCUUUGAUACUGAGGAUCUUGAGUUCGGGAGAGGUGAGUGGAACUGCGAGUGUAGAGGUGAAAUUCGUAGAUAUUCGCAAGAACACCAGUGGCGAAGGCGGCUCACUGGCCCGAUACUGACGCUGAGGCACGAAAGCGUGGGGAGCAAACAGG
This 704-nucleotide ribosomal RNA is filed under the name uncultured Bradyrhizobiaceae bacterium. Its description in RNAcentral is "bacterial SSU rRNA". It matches the Rfam family "Bacterial small subunit ribosomal RNA", at positions 28 to 776 of the family's 1533-position model. Lineage: Bacteria; Pseudomonadati; Pseudomonadota; Alphaproteobacteria; Hyphomicrobiales; Nitrobacteraceae. The record is from RNAcentral.